This 429-nucleotide ribosomal RNA is filed under the name Bacteroidota bacterium. RNAcentral's name for it is "Bacteroidetes bacterium partial 16S ribosomal RNA". It matches the Rfam family "Bacterial small subunit ribosomal RNA", at positions 355 to 776 of the family's 1533-position model. The record is from RNAcentral. Lineage: Bacteria; Pseudomonadati; Bacteroidota.
UAGGGAAUCUUCCGCAAUGGACGCAAGUCUGACGGAGCAACGCCGCGUGAGUGAAGAAGGAUUUCGGUUCGUAAAACUCUGUUGUUAGAGAAGAACAGCGCAUAGAGUAACUGUUAUGCGUGUGACGGUAUCUAACCAGAAAGCCACGGCUAACUACGUGCCAGCAGCCGCGGUAAUACGUAGGUGGCAAGCGUUGUCCGGAUUUAUUGGGCGUAAAGCGAGCGCAGGCGGUCAAUUAAGUCUGAUGUGAAAGCCCCCGGCUCAACCGGGGAGGGUCAUUGGAAACUGGUUGACUUGAGUGCAGAAGCGGAGAGUGGAAUUCCAUGUGUAGCUGUGAAAUGCGUAGAUAUAUGGAGGAACACCAGUGGCGAAGGCGACUCUCUGGUCUGUAACUGACGCUGAGGCUCGAAAGCGUGGGUAGCAAACAGG